GGGUUGUUAGCUCAGUGGUAGAGCAGGACGCUUUUAACGUCUUGGCCGAUGGUUCGAAUCCAUCACGACCCACCA
This 75-nucleotide transfer RNA is filed under the name bacterium. RNAcentral's name for it is "tRNA-Lys". It matches the Rfam family "tRNA". From Rfam's summary of the family: Transfer RNA (tRNA) molecules are approximately 80 nucleotides in length. The record is from RNAcentral.